UAGCAAUACAGAUGGCGCACGGCGCACGGGUGAGUAACACGUGGGCAACCUGCCCUUGGAUGGGGAAUAACCCCGCGAAAGCGGGGCUAAUACCGCAUAACACUCCUGGAACCGUGGUUUCGGGAUUCAAAGUCGUAAGACGUCCGAGGAGGGGCCCGCGCCCGAUUAGCUAGUUGGCGAGGUAAUGGCUCACCAAGGCAAUGAUCGGUAGCCGGUCUGAGAGGAUGGCCGGCCACACUGGAACUGAGACACGGUCCAGACUCCUACGGGAGGCAGCAGUGGGGAAUCUUGCGCAAUGGGCGAAGGCCUGACGCAGCGACGCCGCGUGGGGGAUGAAGCUUUUCGGAGUGUAAACCCCUUUCGACCGGGACGAAACGCCCGCAAGGGAAUUGACGGUACCGGUAGAAGAAGCCCCGGCUAACUACGUGCCAGCAGCCGCGGUAAGACGUAGGGGGCCAGCGUUGCUCGGAAUAACUGGGCGUAAAGGGUCCGUAGGCGGUGUGGCAAGUCGGGAGUGAAAUCUCUGGGCUUAACCCAGGGGCUGCUUCCGAAACUGCCGUGCUAGAGUGCGAGAGAGGUGAGUGGAAUUGCAGGUGUAGCGGUGAAAUGCGUAGAUAUCUGCAGGAACACCCGUGGCGAAGGCGGCUCACUGGAUCGCAACUGACGCUGAGAGACGAAAGCUAGGGGAGCAAACAGGAUUAGAUACCCUGGUAGUCCUAGCCCUAAACGAUCAGAACUUGGGGUGCAUCCCGUUGGGGGUGCGUCCCGUAGCUAACGCGUUAAGUUCUGCGCCUGGGGAGUACGGUCGCAAGACUGAAACUCAAAGGAAUUGAC
Molecule: ribosomal RNA, 834 nt
Filed under: uncultured Bacillota bacterium
Lineage: Bacteria; Bacillati; Bacillota
Description: bacterial SSU rRNA
Rfam family: Bacterial small subunit ribosomal RNA
Source: RNAcentral